Juglans microcarpa x Juglans regia is the source of this 1444-nucleotide RNA transcript. It is a transcript of the gene named biotin carboxyl carrier protein of acetyl-CoA carboxylase-like, with no coding region annotated. The transcript has 10 exons. The record is from RefSeq and is a predicted model, not a curated record. NCBI's taxonomy places the organism in Eukaryota, Viridiplantae, Streptophyta, Magnoliopsida, Fagales, Juglandaceae.
GCGAAGGGGUAGAUGUAACGGACAUUUCGAAGCUCAAGCUCGAAGCUCUUCCAAGUUCCAACUGCACUAAAUCAGCCAAUGCUCCUUUCUCAAUAAAAGCCAUUUCUCUUCUUCUCGAUCUCCCCACUCCCCGCCGGACUUCGCUAUAUAUUUUCCCUCUUCUUCCAACUCAUCUAUUUCGGUUUGUCUUCCAUGGAGUCCUCCGCUGUUCUCCGAUCUUUUCACUGUUCCGUAGGGACUACUUCACAGGUGCGCUCCUUACUUGAGAGGCCUAGUCCGGUACCUAUAUAUAAUGCCAGCUGGCCUAUUCCAAGUAAAUCGUGCAGCCAAGGCUUGACAGUUAGUGGGAAGCUUGUUUUUUCAUCUACAAAGCAGAAGGGAAUGGUAGUACUAUCUGCGAAGACGUCUGAAGCUAUGGAAACAUCUAAGUUCGAUGAUAGUGUUGUCAAAGGCUCAUUGGAGGAGAAAGCUCCAUUCAGUGCUACUUUUCCUAAUGAAUUAGAGGCACUGGUACUAGAGGUCUGUGACGAGACAGAAGUUGCUGAGCUGAAACUAAAGGUUGGAGAUUUUGAAAUGCAUCUGAAGCGGAACAUUGGAGCCACAAAAGCUCCCAUGUCUGGAAUUUCACCGGUUAUACCACCACCUAUUCCAACUAAACCCAUGGUUGAAUCAGCACCAGUUGUCCCAUCACCAUCACAAUCACCACCAAAAGCUUCCAGUCCAUUUACAAAUGUUCGCGAAGAGAAGUCUUCAAAGUUAGCAGCCCUAGAGGCUUCUGGAAGUGGAUAUGUCUUAGUAUCAUCCCCAACGGUUGGGUCAUUUAGAAGGGGCAGAACUGUGAAAGGGAAGAAGCAACCUCCUAUCUGUAAAGAGGGUGAUCUAAUAAAGGAAGGACAAGUAAUUGGAUAUUUGGAUCAGUUUGGCACUGAACUUCCCGUGAAGUCAGAUAAGGCUGGAGAAGUAUUAAAGCUCCUUUUUGAUGAUGGAGAAGCUGUUGGUUACGGAGACCCUCUUAUUGCUCUCUUGCCAUCAUUUCAUGGCAUCGAGUGAGCUCUUCCGGAUUAAUGGUGAUUCCCCAACGGAAAUUAUUAGUUGGAGAGCUGAGAAUCUGCAAUUACAACAGCACCAAAGCAUCCCCUCGAACAAGUCAAGGAUUCAACCGUCAUCCAUGAACCAGCACGAGGGUCAAAAACCUCAACAGAUGAGACCAUCCUAUUUCCAUCAUGGCCGCCUACAGCAUAUCUGCAAACAUAAAUUUUCAGAGUAUAAAGAACUCUUCAGAUGCUAAAAGAAAAGCAUAUAACUCUGUUUUUAUGAAGCAGUCUCUCUUAAAUCUCUUCAUUUUUAAAACAAAAAAAAAAAAACCCUUGUUAAGUUGCAUAUUUACAUAGUCAAUUCCGAAAAAAGAAAUCAUGAAUUAAGAUUGUCCGUUAGUCAUAUAAAA